UUGUGCAUCAUGCCAUGCUUAUGCUGUGGUUGUUUACUAUGUUGUGUGCUUAUUUCCGGUGUUGCUUCUUCGGGUUGGUUCCGAUAACGUCGUGUUUGUGAGGAACCGUUCGACUACGCCCGUUUGUCUCCUUCAUGGACUCGUUCUUCUUCCUUGCGGGAUCUCAGGCAAGAUGACCAUACCCUCGAAAUCACUUCUAUCUUUGCUUGCUAGUUGCUCGCUCUUUUGCUAUGCCUAUGCUGUGAUACCUACCACUUGCUUAUCAUGCCUCCCAUAUUGUUAAACCAAGCCUCUAACCACCUUGUCCUAGCAAACCGUUGUUUGGCUAUGUUACCGCUUUGCUCAGUCCCUCUUAUAGCGUUGUUAGUUGCAGGUGAAGAUUGGAGCUUGUUCCAUGUUUGGAACAUGGAUAUUUUGUUGGGAUAUCACAAUAUCUCUUAUUUAAUUAAUGCAUCUAUAUACUUGGUAAAGGGUGGAAGGCUCGGCCUUUUGCCUAGUGUUUUGUUCCACUCAUGCCGCCCUAGUUUCCGUCAUAUCGGUGUUAUGUUCCCGGAUUUUGCGUUCCUUACGCGGUUGGGUUAUAAUGGGAACCCCUUGACAGUUCGCCUUGAAUAAAACUCCUCCAGCAAUGCCCAACAUUGGUUUUACCAUUCGCCACCUAGCCUCUUUUUCCCUUGAGAGUCGCGCUCCUGAGGGUCAUCAUUAUUUUAACCCCCCCGGGCCAGUGCUCCUCUGAGUGUUGGUCCGAACUGGGCAGCCUGCGGGGCCACCUCGGGGCAACUUGAGGGUUGGUUUUACUCAUAGCUUGACCUAUCUGAGUGUGCCCUGAGAACGAGAUAUGUGCAGCUCCUAUCGGCAUUUGUCGGCACAUUCGGGCGGUGUUGCUGGACUUGUUUUACCAUUGUCGAGAAUGUCUUGUAACCGGGAUUCCGAGCCUGAUCGGGUCUUCCCGCUAGAAGGAAUAUCCUUCGUUGACCGUGAGAGCUUGUGAUGGGCUAAGUUGGGACACCCUUGCAGGGAUUUGAACUUUCGAAAGCCAUGCUCGCGGUUAUGGGAAGAUGGGAAUUUGUUAAUGUCCGGUUGUAGAAAACCUGAAGUUGGUCUUAAAUUAAAAUACAUCAACCGCGUGUGUAACAGUGAUGGUCUCUUCUCGGCGGAGUCCGGGAAGUGAACACGGUGUCGGAGUUAUGUUUGACGUAGGUUGUUCUAGGAUCACUUCUUGAUCAUAGUUGUUCGACCGUGCUUUUGCCUUCUCUUCUCGCUCUCAUUUGCGUAUGUUAGCCACCAUAUAUGCUAGUCGUUUGCUGCAGCUCCACCUCAUACCUUUUACCCUACCUAUAAGCUUAAAUAGUCUUGAUCGCGAGGGUGUGAGAUUGCUGAGUCCCCGUGACUCACAAAUACUUCCAAAACCAGUUUGCAGGUGCCGAUGAAACCAUGCAGGUGACGCAGCUGAGCUCAGGAGGAGCUCGAUGAAGAUCUUGUCCUUUGUGUUGUUUCGUUCUAGUUGAUCAGUAGUGGAGCCCAGUUGGGGUCGAUCGGGGAUCUGUGUAGCUUUUGGGGUAGUCUUCCUUUAUUUUGGUUCCAUAGUUGGACCUUGAUUGUAUCUGGAUGAUGUAAUGCUUUAUUCAUGUAAUUGUGUGAAGUGGCGAUUGUAAGCCAACUAUGUAUCUUUUUCCCUUAUGUAUUACAUGGGUU
This 1695-nucleotide long non-coding RNA is filed under the name Triticum aestivum (bread wheat). Its description in RNAcentral is "long non-coding RNA (TAES_LNC005712)". The record is from RNAcentral. Lineage: Eukaryota; Viridiplantae; Streptophyta; Magnoliopsida; Poales; Poaceae.